This 411-nucleotide ribosomal RNA is filed under the name Verrucomicrobiota bacterium. RNAcentral's name for it is "Verrucomicrobia bacterium partial 16S ribosomal RNA". It matches the Rfam family "Bacterial small subunit ribosomal RNA", at positions 355 to 776 of the family's 1533-position model. Lineage: Bacteria; Pseudomonadati; Verrucomicrobiota. The record is from RNAcentral.
UGGGGAAUUUUGCGCAAUGGGGGAAACCCUGACGCAGCGACGCCGCGUGCGGGAUGAAGGCCUUCGGGUUGUAAACCGCUUUUGAUUGGGAGCAAGCUUUCGGGUGAGUGUACCUUUCGAAUAAGCGCCGGCUAACUACGUGCCAGCAGCCGCGGUAAUACGUAGGGCGCAAGCGUUAUCCGGAAUUAUUGGGCGUAAAGAGCUUGUAGGCGGUUCGUCGCGUCUGGUGUGAAAGCCCAUCGCUUAACGGUGGGUUUGCGCCGGGUACGGGCGGGCUAGAGUGCAGUAGGGGAGACUGGAAUUCCCGGUGUAACGGUGGAAUGUGUAGAUAUCGGGAAGAACACCAAUGGCGAAGGCAGGUCUCUGGGCUGUUACUGACGCUGAGAAGCGAAAGCGUGGGGAGCGAACAGG